UUAUUAUUCCCAUCGCCUGAAAAUUACGGAUCAUUUUGUAACGGGGCACGCAAUACUGUAAGCCAACAGCAUUAUUACGUGGUAUUGCGUGGAAUGGCAUUAAUUUUAACGCGCGCUUUGAUUAAGGUGGUAAGCACAAUCACAGAGAUCUAAGGCAAGCGACAGAUGGCUCAAUAUUGUCUCGGCUAGGGGUUAGAGUUAUUUCGAGCGAGAAUGAGAGUAAUUUACACGUUGUAUGCUGCCAUAUCAUAAGAGUGUUUGGGUCUAGCCGGUGAUCAGUUUUUUUUUUUUCCUUUCCACAGUAGAGAGGGAUUUUUGGCGUCAUCUCGUACUAUGAAAUACUCUUGUACUUUGAAUUACCCUUGUACUUUGCAGCACUUGGAAAGCUGUCCACUAUUUUCAUAACCAAGCAGAACUAAAACCCAACAUAUACUGCUCGUUUUCUAAACGUCUCACGAACUAAUAGCCAGCUAAGACACUUCAAAGUACGAUUUUGAAUAUAUCAACAAAGAUUUUAUUUAUGACCCCCAUAUCUUUUUGUAGUACCAAAACAACAUAUCUAAUUAAUACAUUUUAUAUAAAUAAUAAACAACAAAAUUAUUAACGACCUCCCUUUCGUUGCUUUGAAAUCCUCCACUCAUCGGGUUUUUCAAAUCGAUUGUACAAUGGUAGCACCUUGAGAUUUUUCUUGGUUUUGGAAACUUGAUUUGCAUUGGCAAAUUUAAAGAAUGUUGGUGCAACUUCCACAAGCCAUUUUGGAUUCACUGUGCUUACCGUGUGCAUGUAUUCUUUUGACGUUUGAAUCAGUUCAUGGUAUAUCACCCACUCUGCAGCUUUUCCAAAUAAAACUCCACUAGGAUGCAUGUAUACAGGAGCAUUCUCCACGAUCGUUUUGUAACAUCCCUCGUGAGAGUCUCGCUUGGCAACAUUGGUAAAGUAGCCAGAACACAAAGCCCGUAAAAUAAGUUCUCUCUUUCUUCCACAUGAAACAACUGGGUGUCGAUACCGAUCCAUUAGGCGAAUAAGCUGUUUGCGUACAUCUUCAGCUCGACGCAUACCACGGGCUUGGAUAUAAUGUUCAUAACACCAAUUAUCUGAGCAACGAUUCAUUUUCCAAGUCGUAUACACAUUAAGUAAGGUUAAGUGAUCACUCUCAGGAUUUGCAAAUUGUGCUCGUUGUCGAUCAGCUUCUUGCUGCUUCUCCCUUGGUCGGCUCCAAAUGUUAGGUACGCUAAGCAUGGCAAUAAUACUCAACAUUUCUUCAGAGCAACCUAAUUCUACGCUAGUAAUCAAUACUUUUGACAAUUGAGGCUCCAUCGGGAAAUCUGCCAUUUUUCGCCCAAGAGGAGUCAGCAAUCCCUCAUCGUCCAAGGCCGACAGUGCAUACAGAUUUUGCAAGGCGGCUAUCAUGGUUUGAGCAGGUGGAGGAUCCAUAAAAUCAAAAUUCAAAAGGUCGUUAAUUCCCAUUGCCUUUAACAUCAAAAUAGUAUGCGACAAAUUUUGGCGUUGUAUCUCAGGAAUCGGGGAAGGCAACAUUUCGUUUCGGUAAGCGCUUUCAGUAUACAGACGAUAACAUUUUCCGGGUCCUGUACGCCCUGCACGACCACUUCUUUGCCUAGCUUGUGCUUGAGAAAUUGGCGUAACUAUUAGAGAAUCCAUGCCUAGUUUUGGAUCAAAGCAGCUCUGCUUGACAAACCCAGGGUCCACCACAUAAUAAAUUCCAUCAAUUGUUAAACUAGUUUCAGCAAUGUUGGUUGCAAUUACUACCUUACGACCUCCUGGGGGAGCAGGUUCAAAAAUACGACUUUGUAUUUCCGAAGGAAGCGCUGAAUAAACAGGUAAAAUAACUAGCUCAGGAAUCGAAUCUCCUAGCAUUUUACUUCUUUCAUAUAAUAUUUCACAACUAGUAUCAAUUUCUUCUUGACCUGUCAGAAAUACUAAUAUAUCACCAGGUCCUUCGCUCAAGUGGAUUUGCAUAACAGUCAUCAAAGCAGCAUCAAGAUAGUCGGCUUCUGGUUGUUUUGUAUACAUGAUUUCGACGGGAUAUGAACGCCCAGGAAUCGUAAAAAUUGGGCAUUUAUAGAAAUAAGACGAAAACCGCUCAGCAUCUAGCGUGGCUGAAGUAACAAUUAGCUUUAAAUCUGGCCGUUUCAAAACAGUUCCCUUUAACAGUCCAAAAAGUACAUCAGUUGCAACGGUUCUUUCAUGUGCUUCAUCUAAAAUAAUUACAGAAUAUUUGGACAAAAGAGGAUCAACUAAACAUUCUCGUUGAAGCAUACCAUCAGUCAUAUAUUUAAUUUGGGUCAUUCUACUGGUCUUAUCUUCGAAACGAAUAGUGUAACCAACCUCUUCACCAACACGACAUCCCACUUCUUCUGCUACACGUUUGGCAACAGACAUUGCAGCUACACGCCUAGGUUGAGUACAACCUAUCAUUUUGCUAUCACUGGUAUAACCUUCUUCAGCAAGAUAUUGAGUGAUUUGAGUGGUCUUACCGGAACCGGUUUCACCGAGUAGAACCAAAAUUUGGUUUUUUGAGACAGCCUCGAGAAACUGUUUACGAAGUUUAAAAACUGGAAGACCCUCUCUUUGCUCUUUCAUGCUCAGUGUUGUUCUUUUACCGUAGGAUAUAUUUGCAUUUCGUGUUGCUUGACGCCAGCUGGGAGUUUCAGAAGUAAGUUGACGAGCAGCUGAGUCUCGCACAUCUUGGGCAAAUUUCCGAUCCUGAGGAUUCGACAUAGUGUCUUGCCAUGAGAGGGAUAAGUCUUGCUUUUCCAUUUCUUGUUCACUCUUUAAUUUUGCCUCCUUUUGUCUUAUUUCUCGUCUAUCAUUUGCUAAAAUCUGCCCUUGCAUUGCUGCUCUGGACAAUGAACCAUCCGGGGCCUUUACAACUUUUAUAGGAGAUAGCUUUAAUGAAACUUUGGUUUGUCCUGCGAGAAAUCCAGGUUCUUCUUCACGAAGUUCGAUUUCUACGUCUUCAUCAUCUUCGGGAUUAAUUUCCGCAGCAUUAUUAGUAUUGAAUCCAUCGUUGAGUUCAGGAAUAUCCGUAGCGGAAAUUGCACCGGAUGCAGCAAGUUGCUGUAACUCCCAUAUUUCAGGUGAUGUUAAACGCUUCCGACCGUUUGAAGUGAACGUUUCAAGUGGAUUCACAUGUCCAAUUUCAGAAUUUUGGGCUGAUAAUGGAAUAGCGUUUGCUCCACUACCCUUCUUUGUAGAACGUGAAACUUGAUCCGGAUUCAAAUCCUCACCUGUAACUUGAUUCACCUCCUUCAUUGACAGGCUGAUUCGCUUUGCUGAUUCAUCAAUUCUAAUAACUUUUACAAAUACAGGUUGUCCAUAGCUAACAGCCUCUGAAGGAUGAUCCAAUCUCCCAUUUAAUUGGAUAUUUGAGAUAUGAACCAAACCAUCAGUUCUCUUUCUAAAGCCGUCCAAAGUUACAAAGGCACCAAAGUCCUUAAUACCUGAGACAACACCAGAAUAAAUUCCAUACAAUGUUGGAGCAUUUAGCAAUGGACCACGCGAUGAUCGACUAGAAUGUGAUUGACCAGAAAUUGAGGUACGUGAAUGAUGCGAAAAACUGGGACUAAUUGAUCUCUCUCUACGUUCCCUUAUUCCAUUGAGGUAAUGCCGCUCAUCCCUCCUAGAAUCCCUAUCGUUUCUCCUUGUUUUGGCCAACGUCGAAAGUUCUUCCAGCUCGUCCAUAGCAUUAUCCAUAAGCGCUGGUCUAUCCCUUAAAUUAUUCGUGCUAUUUGGGAUGCUUAAGCCAGGAAACAUCUUUCUUUGGUGUUGUUUGUCAACAUCUUUGCUAUCUAAAUCAUGCGAAGCUCCAUUGACCGAGUUACUACCAUUAUUUACAUUAUCAGUGGGAAUGUCAUCUUUAGGCUUAAUUUCCUUAAUUAAUCGACUUAUGUUUUGAAGGAAACUGUCGGUGAAUUCUCCUCCACAUGAAAGGACAUUAUUUUUAAACUCAUCGUAAUUCUUAGACUGAUCAUGCAAAUUAAUAAUAAAUUCUGCAAGAGUAUUAUCGUCAAUUCCUAGAUUUGGUUAAUUAUUUAUAAAAAAAUGAGUAUUAAAGCCUACUACUUACCAGUAUGAUUUCGAAUUUCAGAGGCAACUUUAGAUACCAAGGAUAAAUACUCCAAUUCUUUCAGAUCGUCCAUUAUUGUCUUUUCUCCCACUAGGAUUCACUAAAAAUUAAAUCGAAGUUUGAAGAAGACUUUCAAAAUUGCUCCAUACCAAACAUAGGUGUAUGGUUAAAAAUGAAACGCGUGCAAUAGACAAUCGCGUUUCCUAACUUUGUACAAAUAAAUAUUCAUGGCUGUCAACGCAACGAGUUGCGCCAAAGGCAAAUAAGGUAGCUGAAUUACAGUUCGUUAUAAUAAUGUCGAGGCUCUACUUAUUAUUUGAACUUUGAGUCCGUGUUGUUUACAAUAGGAACUGGGGUGAGUUUCGUACCUUAUUAAGAAAUAAUUUUUGCAACUUGAAUGUUUAAUUACUGUCAAAGUUUACGUAAGGUAUUUCUAGAAUGUUUUAAUGGCUAAAUCAAUGACAGGGCGUAGCG
RNAcentral lists this long non-coding RNA (4561 nucleotides) under Schizosaccharomyces pombe (fission yeast). The record is from RNAcentral. Lineage: Eukaryota; Fungi; Ascomycota; Schizosaccharomycetes; Schizosaccharomycetales; Schizosaccharomycetaceae.